UGGCGGACGGGUGAGUAAUGUCUGGGAAACUGCCCGAUGGAGGGGGAUAACUACUGGAAACGGUAGCUAAUACCGCAUAACGUCGCAAGACCAAAGAGGGGGGCCUUCGGGCCUCUUGCCAUCGGAUGUGCCCAGAUGGGAUUAGCUAGUAGGUGGGGUAAUGGCUCACCUAGGCGACGAUCCCUAGCUGGUCUGAGAGGAUGACCAGCCACACUGGAACUGAGACACGGUCCAG
Molecule: ribosomal RNA, 235 nt
Filed under: uncultured bacterium
Lineage: Bacteria
Description: partial 16S ribosomal RNA
Rfam family: Bacterial small subunit ribosomal RNA
Source: RNAcentral